GCUGGGUGCAGUGGUGCACACCUGUAAUCCCAGUGACCUGGGAAGCUGAAGCAGGAGGAUCACAAGUUUGAGGCCAGCCUGGGCAAAUUAGCAAGAUCCUUAGCAAUUU
Molecule: small RNA, 109 nt
Filed under: Marmota monax (woodchuck)
Lineage: Eukaryota; Metazoa; Chordata; Mammalia; Rodentia; Sciuridae
Source: RNAcentral